This 60-nucleotide transfer RNA is filed under the name Dipodomys ordii (Ord's kangaroo rat). It matches the Rfam family "tRNA". Rfam says of the family: Transfer RNA (tRNA) molecules are approximately 80 nucleotides in length. Their secondary structure includes four short double-helical elements and three loops (D, anti-codon, and T loops). Further hydrogen bonds mediate the characteristic L-shaped molecular structure. tRNAs have two regions of fundamental functional importance: the anti-codon, which is responsible for specific mRNA codon recognition, and the 3' end, to which the tRNAs corresponding amino acid is attached (by aminoacyl-tRNA synthetases). tRNAs cope with the degeneracy of the genetic code in two manners: having more than one tRNA (with a specific anti-codon) for a particular amino acid; and 'wobble' base-pairing, i.e. permitting non-standard base-pairing at the 3rd anti-codon position. Lineage: Eukaryota; Metazoa; Chordata; Mammalia; Rodentia; Heteromyidae. The record is from Rfam by way of RNAcentral.
GGUACUGUGGCUCAAUGGUAGAGCGUUAGCCUUAAGCUGAAUAGCUGAAGGACAGUCCCU